Molecule: ribosomal RNA, 438 nt
Filed under: uncultured bacterium
Lineage: Bacteria
Description: bacterial SSU rRNA
Rfam family: Bacterial small subunit ribosomal RNA
Source: RNAcentral
ACAAUGGGCGCAAGCCUGAUGCAGCCAUGCCCGCGUGUAUGAAGAAGGCCUUCGGGUUGUAAAGUACUUUCAGCAGUGAGGAAGGUGGGUAUGUUAAUAGCAUACUCAUUUGACGUUAGCUGCAGAAGAAGCACCGGCUAACUCCCGUGCCAGCAGCCGCGGUAAUACGGAGGGUGCGAGCGUUAAUCGGGAAUUACUGGGCGUAAAGCGCAUGCAGGUGGUUUGUUAAGUCAGAUGUGAAAGCCCGGGGCUCAACCUCGGAAUUGCAUUUGAAACUGGCAAACUAGAGUACUGUAGAGGGGGUAGGAAUUUCAGGUGUAGCGGUGAAAUGCGUAGAGAUCUGAAGGAAUACCGGUGGCGAAGGCGGCCCCCUCGGACAGAUACUGACACUCAGAUGCGAAAGCGUGGGGAGCAAACAGGAUUAGAUACCCUCGGUAG